Molecule: ribosomal RNA, 546 nt
Filed under: Trichoderma helicum
Lineage: Eukaryota; Fungi; Ascomycota; Sordariomycetes; Hypocreales; Hypocreaceae
Description: eukaryotic LSU rRNA
Rfam family: 5.8S ribosomal RNA (bases 158-311)
Source: RNAcentral
GCCUCGGCGGGAUCUCUGCCCCGGGUGCGUCGCAGCCCCGGACCAAGGCGCCCGCCGGAGGACCAACCAAAAACUCUUUUUGUAUACCCCCUCGCGGGUUUUUAUAUAUCUGAGCCUUUCUCGGCGCCCCUUCGUGGGCGUUUCGAAAAUGAAUCAAAACUUUCAACAACGGAUCUCUUGGUUCUGGCAUCGAUGAAGAACGCAGCGAAAUGCGAUAAGUAAUGUGAAUUGCAGAAUUCAGUGAAUCAUCGAAUCUUUGAACGCACAUUGCGCCCGCCAGUAUUCUGGCGGGCAUGCCUGUCCGAGCGUCAUUUCAACCCUCGAACCCCUCCGGGGGGUCGGCGUUGGGGAUCGGCUCCCUCUAAACCAGGGUGCCGUCUCCGAAAUACAGUGGCGGUCUCGCCGCAGCCUCUCCUGCGCAGUAGUUUGCACACUCGCAUCGGGAGCGCGGCGCGUCCACGUCCGUAAAACAACCCAAACUUCUGAAAUGUUGACCUCGGAUCAGGUAGGAAUACCCGCUGAACUUAAGCAUAUCAAUAAGCAGAG